Lupinus albus (white lupine) is the source of this 153-nucleotide non-coding RNA. The record is from the annotation of a GenBank genome assembly. Lineage: Eukaryota; Viridiplantae; Streptophyta; Magnoliopsida; Fabales; Fabaceae.
CUGAACAAGAUGGAGAAGCAGGGCACGUGCAAUACUAACUCUUAUGAAUCAUAUAUUUGUUUCGUGUUUCAUUUCAAAAACCAAAAAAGAAUUAGAGAUUCAUAGUUAGGUGCAGUUAGUACUUCAUGUGCCCUUCUUCCCCAUUUUGAUAGC